This 2159-nucleotide long non-coding RNA is filed under the name Triticum aestivum (bread wheat). RNAcentral describes it as "long non-coding RNA (TAES_LNC010347)". Lineage: Eukaryota; Viridiplantae; Streptophyta; Magnoliopsida; Poales; Poaceae. The record is from RNAcentral.
CGCUCGCUCUGGCGGCUCCCAGUCCCUGGAUUUGGCUAUAGGCCGGUGGAUCUGGGUGCUACCGAUGGUGGUGUUGAAGGGGGGCGUAUGGACAUCAACGUGACCAGCAAGCUGGAGGCCACAACAACAAGCGUCCUUGAACUUUACCUCAAAUCAUUCAUCUAGACAUGUACAGGUACACAUACAUUGGUAUGUGUCCAUCCUUGGCUGCUCUAAUCUUUUUCAUUUGCUCCAAUCCCCAAUUUGGUUCGCGGGAAACGUACAUGUAGUAGAAUCUCGCUUCUCAAUUGUAGAAUUUUUGGUCAAUUCGUGAAUUUCAUCGUCAAACCAUGGAAUAAUUUCUGAUCCUUCAUAGUGGAUAAAUUGCUGAAUUUUUUCCUUCGUAUCCUACAUACAUCACCAUUUGUUACAGAGGCAUAAAGUCCUAUUUAUCAGAUUUAUAUUUUUUCAGAUCUUGCUGAUAGUUAUUUCAAGUUUAGCAAUGAGCAGACUCUUAACUUAUGUACCUGCAAAGCUGCAGUACUGUAGAUGGAAAGUAACAUUAGUGAGAUCGAACAUCCUCUGCCCAAGAGGUUAUUUAGAUUUUACCAUGUAUUGUUGCUUGUGUGAGCAUUUGAUUCUGUACAAAAAUUAAUUAUGAACACUCUUAGAUGUUCGCAGUGUGGACGGCAGCCGUUGAUUCAUAGCAGCUGGAGCAGGCCUGUAGCGUCGCUAGUGUUCCUUGUCAUCAGGUUACAUUGGCCGUUGCAUUCUUGUUGAUGUAGUUUGCAUCUCCAUCUCCUCCUACCAUGAUAGUUGGUGACUAGCCAUUCGCGGCUAGAGCUCUUCGAUAUUGCAUCCUUCUCCGUCAAUUUACAUCAGUAUGUGUCAAAUUAAACUUAUUGGCAGGUGCAUUCGAGUGAGAGCUAUCGACACUUGAGUGCUGACCAUAUCUAAACUUAUUCCAGAUUUCGGACUAGGAGAAGCUUUCCGCCCUGUAAGUGUAUAGAUGUAUUCCAGAGCAAGGAAAAAAACACCAAGUGAGAUGUAUUACUUGCCAUUUUACUAAGCAGGUGCAUUCAUAUUAUUUUUAUGUCCUGUUUGACACUGUAUAUAAUUGAUUGCUUUGAAAUGCCUACAUUACGAGAGUACAAUAAAGUACGUUGAGAAUAUUGUUCUUGAUUGAGUAAAAAAACUGAUUUAACUCAUGCUUUUGUGUAUAUUUUUUGCGGAUAAACUCAUGCUUUUGUGUUGACAUACACUCACAUUAUGGAUUGAAGUUCUCAUGAUGGUAAUGAUGAGUGUGCAAGGGCCGUAUAGGUCAGACAUAGGUCUAAUUAACAAAUCACAGAAAGGAGAGGAGGAAGCUGAGCAACACUCCUUUUUCUAUUUGGAACCAGCAUCAUUUAUUGGGUAUGUAGGAAAUUAUUCUUUGCCUCUAUUGGUUGUACCUUAUUCUAUAUUGUACUGCCAGUACCAUGGCAUACCAAUUGUUUGGAUAGAUCAAAAGGCAAGCUAAAGAUCAAUUAGAUAAAUGCUACUGUACUCGCACAUCUCACAUCUCAUUUAGCUUUAUACAUACCUUGUAUCAGCAUUUCUUGAAAACACAUUUAUGCAGUCACACAUCUGACCUUGUUUUUUUUUGAAUUUUGCUUGGUUGGAACUGUAUACAUUUGCGUUGUCUAACUAGUAAUGCUUGUUGAUUGAAUUUGCAGCAUUUGAAUCCUCCUCAGAAGAGAACACGACAUUAGCUAGUGCCAAAAAUGCCAACACAACUUGGCCAUGCUUCUAUCAAGUUGCCUUGGUCCAACCCUUGCAAGCUUCUUCAUCUAUAACAAACAUCAAUCCUGGGAGCACUAGUCAAAGAGUCAGUGUUCUACGGUCUAGCAAAAAGAUAUAGAGGAAGUCACUGCCACUACUCCUACCAGAAGAUUAAUUUUAAGAAUAAAAUUUCUUGUUCUGGCUGCUGAUUAAUUGCCACUGAAUUUAUCCACAUGUUAAUGUCAUAAUUGUUAUUGCUCUGCUACUUAGUUGCUAGUAGAUUUUUUGUUUUCGAAAGAGGCCAGAAUUUAUUUACACAUCUAUGGUAUACAUGUCUCUGACGGUGUCUCUUGUGGGUGCAUUUCUUGAACUACAUAUGUCUUAUGAAUGCUAACUCAGCUGGAGCAUCCAUGUUAAAU